RNAcentral lists this ribosomal RNA (309 nucleotides) under Clinostomatidae sp. OS-2014_c. RNAcentral describes it as "partial large subunit ribosomal RNA". Lineage: Eukaryota; Metazoa; Platyhelminthes; Trematoda; Strigeidida; Clinostomidae. The record is from RNAcentral.
GUUAUUUUCUUUUGGUUUAGUACCUUUUGCAUCAUGAUUUACUGAUGGUUGUUAUGUAAUUAGCUUCCCGAAAGGUAGUGAUUUAAUAUUGAUUUGUUUGGAACUUUGUGAGAGUGUGCGGGUAGCGCUUCUUAAAAUUAAUAUUGGGUGUGAUAAAUAAUACGUACUACCUUAUAGCUGGUUUCUGAAUCAUUUUCUCGUACUAUCCUUACUGCUAUGAUGUGGUUAGGUUCUUAAGAGACUUGUUUUUAUUUAUUAUACUAUGGGGUUAAAAGUACCUUUUUGUAGUGUUUGUGUUAUAACAUGUUA